AUACGUAGGUGGCAAGCGUUGUCCGGAUUUAUUGGGCGUAAAGCGAGCGCAGGCGGUUUUUUAAGUUCUGAUGUGAAAGACCUUCGGCUCAACCGAAGAAGUGCAUCGGAAACUGGGAAACUUGAGUGCAGAAGAGGACAGUGGAACUCCAUGUGUAGCGGUGAAAUAGCGUAGAUAUAUGGAAGAACACCAGUGGCGAAGGCGGCUGUCUGGUCUGUAACUGACGCUGAGGCUCGAAAGUAUGGGUAGC
This 250-nucleotide ribosomal RNA is filed under the name uncultured bacterium. RNAcentral's name for it is "partial 16S ribosomal RNA". It matches the Rfam family "Bacterial small subunit ribosomal RNA", at positions 523 to 769 of the family's 1533-position model. The record is from RNAcentral.